UACGAAGGGAGCUAGCGUUGCUCGGAAUUACUGGGCGUAAAGUGCACGUAGGCGGGCUGUUAAGUCAGGGGUGAAAUCCCGGGGCUCAACCUCGGAAUUGCCUCUGAUACUGGCAGCCUUGAGUUCGGGAGAGGUUGGUGGAAUUCCUAGUGUAGAGGUGAAAUUCGUAGAUAUUAGGAAGACCACCAGUGGCGACGGCGGCCAACUGGACCGACACUGACGCUGAGGUGCGAAAGCGUGGGGAGCAAACAGG
Molecule: ribosomal RNA, 253 nt
Filed under: uncultured bacterium
Lineage: Bacteria
Description: partial 16S ribosomal RNA
Rfam family: Bacterial small subunit ribosomal RNA
Source: RNAcentral